RNAcentral lists this ribosomal RNA (460 nucleotides) under uncultured bacterium. Its description in RNAcentral is "partial 16S ribosomal RNA". It matches the Rfam family "Bacterial small subunit ribosomal RNA", at positions 338 to 795 of the family's 1533-position model. The record is from RNAcentral.
CCUACGGGCGGCAGCAGUGAGGAAUAUUGGUCAAUGGACGAGAGUCUGAACCAGCCAAGUAGCGUGAAGGAUGACUGCCCUAUGGGUUGUAAACUUCUUUUAUAUGGGAAUAAAAUGUUCCACGUGUGGGGUUUUGUAUGUACCUUAUGAAUAAGGAUCGGCUAACUCCGUGCCAGCAGCCGCGGUAAUACGGAGGAUGCGAGCGUUAUCCGGAUUUAUUGGGUUUAAAGGGAGCGUAGGCGGUUUGUUAAGUCAGUUGUGAAAGUCUGCGGCUCAACCGUAACAUUGCAGUUGAAACUGGCAGUCUUGAGUAUAGUAGAGGUGGGCGGAAUUCGUGGUGUAGCGGUGAAAUGCUUAGAUAUCACGAAGAACUCCGAUUGCGAAGGCAGUUCACUGGACUGCAACUGACACUGAGGCUCGAAAGUGUGGGUAUCAAACAGGAUUAGAUACCCGUGUAGUC